Molecule: ribosomal RNA, 1239 nt
Filed under: metagenome
Description: bacterial SSU rRNA
Rfam family: Bacterial small subunit ribosomal RNA
Source: RNAcentral
GUAACACGUGUGCAACCAACCCCGUACCGGGAGAUAACCCGCGGAAACGUGGACUAACACCCCAUAAGACCUUUCCCCCGCAUGGGGGGGAGUUUAAAACCCCGGUGGUACGGGACGGGCACGCGCGACAUUAGGUAGUUGGCGGGGUAACGGCCCACCAAGCCGACGAUGUCUAGGGGUUCUGAGAGGAAGGUCCCCCACACUGGAACUGAGACACGGUCCAGACUCCUACGGGAGGCAGCAGUGAGGAAUAUUGGUCAAUGGGCGAGAGCCUGAACCAGCCAAGUCGCGUGAGGGAAGAAUGGUCUAUGGCCUGUAAACCUCUUUUGUCAAGGAAGAACAUGUAGUACGUGUACUACCCUGCCAGUACUUGACGAAUAAGCAUCGGCUAACUCCGUGCCAGCGGCCGCGGUAAUACGGGGGAUGCGAGCGUUAUCCGGAUUUAUUGGGUUUAAAGGGCGCGUAGGCGGGACGUCAAGUCAGCGGUAAAAGACUGCAGCUAAACUGUAGCACGCCGUUGAAACUGUCGACCUGGAGACGAGACGAGGGAGGCGGAACAAGUGAAGUAGCGGUGAAAUGCAUAGAUAUCACUUGGAACCCCGAUAGCGAAGGCAGCUUCCCAGGCUCGAUCUGACGCUGAUGCGCGAGAGCGUGGGUAGCGAACGGGAUUAGAUACCCUGGUAGUCCACGCCGUAAACGAUGCUCACUGGAUCUUGGCGAUACACGGCCAGAGUUCAAGCGAAAGUAUUAAGUGAGCCACCUGGGGAGUACGUCGGCAACGAUGAAACUCAAAGGAAUUGACGGGGGCCCGCACAAGCGGAGGAACAUGUGGUUUAAUUCGAUGAUACGCGAGGAACCUUACCCGGGUUUAAAUGCAGGCUGCAUGAGGUGGAAACACCUCUUUCCCUCGGGACUACCUGCAAGGUGCUGCAUGGUUGUCGUCAGCUCGUGCCGUGAGGUGUCGGGUUAAGUCCCAUAACGAGCGCAACCCCUAUCGCCAGUUGCCAUCGGUUUCGGCCGGGCACUCUGUCGAGACUGCCACCGUAAGGUGCGAGGAAGGCGGGGAUGACGUCAAAUCAGCACGGCCCUUACACCCGGGGCGACACACGUGUUACAAUGGCCGGUACAGAGGGCAGCCACGGGGCGACCCGGAGCGAAUCUCUAAAGCCGGUCGUAGUUCGGACUGGAGUCUGCAACCCGACUCCACGAAGUUGGAUUCGCUAGUAAUCGCGCAUCAGC